RNAcentral lists this ribosomal RNA (2927 nucleotides) under Citrobacter freundii. RNAcentral's name for it is "bacterial LSU rRNA". It matches the Rfam family "Bacterial large subunit ribosomal RNA". Lineage: Bacteria; Pseudomonadati; Pseudomonadota; Gammaproteobacteria; Enterobacterales; Enterobacteriaceae. The record is from RNAcentral.
GGGUUGUGAGGUUAAGCGACUAAGCGUACACGGUGGAUGCCCUGGCAGUCAGAGGCGAUGAAGGACGUGCUAAUCUGCGAUAAGCGUCGGUAAGGUGAUAUGAACCGUUAUAACCGGCGAUUUCCGAAUGGGGAAACCCAGUGUGAUUCGUCACACUAUCAUUACGUGAAUACAUAGCGUAAUGAAGCGAACCGGGGGAACUGAAACAUCUAAGUACCCCGAGGAAAAGAAAUCAACCGAGAUUCCCCCAGUAGCGGCGAGCGAACGGGGAGCAGCCCAGAGUCUGAAUCAGCUUGUGUGUUAGUGGAACGGUCUGGAAAGUCCGACGGUACAGGGUGAUAGUCCCGUACACCAAAAUGCACAGGUUGUGAACUCGAAGAGUAGGGCGGGACACGUGGUAUCCUGUCUGAAUAUGGGGGGACCAUCCUCCAAGGCUAAAUACUCCUGACUGACCGAUAGUGAACCAGUACCGUGAGGGAAAGGCGAAAAGAACCCCGGCGAGGGGAGUGAAAAAGAACCUGAAACCGUGUACGUACAAGCAGUGGGAGCCUCUUUAUGGGGUGACUGCGUACCUUUUGUAUAAUGGGUCAGCGACUUAUAUUCUGUAGCAAGGUUAACCGUAUAGGGGAGCCGAAGGGAAACCGAGUCUUAACUGGGCGUUAAGUUGCAGGGUAUAGACCCGAAACCCGGUGAUCUAGCCAUGGGCAGGUUGAAGGUUGGGUAACACUAACUGGAGGACCGAACCGACUAAUGUUGAAAAAUUAGCGGAUGACUUGUGGCUGGGGGUGAAAGGCCAAUCAAACCGGGAGAUAGCUGGUUCUCCCCGAAAGCUAUUUAGGUAGCGCCUCGUGAAUUCAUCUUCGGGGGUAGAGCACUGUUUCGGCUAGGGGGUCAUCCCGACUUACCAACCCGAUGCAAACUGCGAAUACCGAAGAAUGUUAUCACGGGAGACACACGGCGGGUGCUAACGUCCGUCGUGAAGAGGGAAACAACCCAGACCGCCAGCUAAGGUCCCAAAGUCAUGGUUAAGUGGGAAACGAUGUGGGAAGGCACAGACAGCCAGGAUGUUGGCUUAGAAGCAGCCAUCAUUUAAAGAAAGCGUAAUAGCUCACUGGUCGAGUCGGCCUGCGCGGAAGAUGUAACGGGGCUAAACCAUGCACCGAAGCUGCGGCAGCGACACUAUGUGUUGUUGGGUAGGGGAGCGUUCUGUAAGCCGUUGAAGGUGUACUGUGAGGUAUGCUGGAGGUAUCAGAAGUGCGAAUGCUGACAUAAGUAACGAUAAUGCGGGUGAAAAACCCGCACGCCGGAAGACCAAGGGUUCCUGUCCAACGUUAAUCGGGGCAGGGUGAGUCGACCCCUAAGGCGAGGCCGAAAGGCGUAGUCGAUGGGAAACAGGUUAAUAUUCCUGUACUUGGUGUUACUGCGAAGGGGGGACGGAGAAGGCUAUGUUAGCCGGGCGACGGUUGUCCCGGUUUAAGCAUGUAGGCGGAGGUUCCAGGUAAAUCCGGUACCUUUUAACGCUGAGGUGUGAUGACGAGGCACUACGGUGCUGAAGUAACAAAUGCCCUGCUUCCAGGAAAAGCCUCUAAGCAUCAGGUAACACGAAAUCGUACCCCAAACCGACACAGGUGGUCAGGUAGAGAAUACCAAGGCGCUUGAGAGAACUCGGGUGAAGGAACUAGGCAAAAUGGUGCCGUAACUUCGGGAGAAGGCACGCUGAUAUGUAGGUGAAGCGGUUUACCCGUGGAGCUGAAAUCAGUCGAAGAUACCAGCUGGCUGCAACUGUUUAUUAAAAACACAGCACUGUGCAAACACGAAAGUGGACGUAUACGGUGUGACGCCUGCCCGGUGCCGGAAGGUUAAUUGAUGGGGUUAUCCGUAAGGAGAAGCUCUUGAUCGAAGCCCCGGUAAACGGCGGCCGUAACUAUAACGGUCCUAAGGUAGCGAAAUUCCUUGUCGGGUAAGUUCCGACCUGCACGAAUGGCGUAAUGAUGGCCAGGCUGUCUCCACCCGAGACUCAGUGAAAUUGAACUCGCUGUGAAGAUGCAGUGUACCCGCGGCAAGACGGAAAGACCCCGUGAACCUUUACUAUAGCUUGACACUGAACACUGGUCCUUGAUGUGUAGGAUAGGUGGGAGGCUUUGAAGUGUGGACGCCAGUCUGCAUGGAGCCAUCCUUGAAAUACCACCCUUUAAUGGCUGGUGUUCUAACGUGGACCCGUAAUCCGGGUUGCGGACAGUGUCUGGUGGGUAGUUUGACUGGGGCGGUCUCCUCCUAAAGAGUAACGGAGGAGCACGAAGGUUAGCUAAUCCUGGUCGGACAUCAGGAGGUUAGUGCAAAGGCAUAAGCUAGCUUGACUGCGAGAGUGACGGCUCGAGCAGGUGCGAAAGCAGGUCUUAGUGAUCCGGUGGUUCUGAAUGGAAGGGCCAUCGCUCAACGGAUAAAAGGUACUCCGGGGAUAACAGGCUGAUACCGCCCAAGAGUUCAUAUCGACGGCGGUGUUUGGCACCUCGAUGUCGGCUCAUCACAUCCUGGGGCUGAAGUAGGUCCCAAGGGUAUGGCUGUUCGCCAUUUAAAGUGGUACGCGAGCUGGGUUUAGAACGUCGUGAGACAGUUCGGUCCCUAUCUGCCGUGGGCGCUGGAGAAUUGAGGGGGGCUGCUCCUAGUACGAGAGGACCGGAGUGGACGCAUCACUGGUGUUCGGGUUGUCAUGCCAAUGGCAUUGCCCGGUAGCUAAAUGCGGAAGAGAUAAGUGCUGAAAGCAUCUAAGCACGAAACUUGCCCCGAGAUGAGUUCUCCCUGAGACUUUAAGUCUCCUGAAGGAACGUUAAAGACGAUGACGUUGAUAGGUCGGGUGUGUAAGUGUAGCGAUACAUUGAGCUAACCGAUACUAAUGAACCGUGAGGCUUAACCUUACAACGCCGAAG